This 2600-nucleotide unclassified non-coding RNA is filed under the name Hevea brasiliensis (rubber tree). Lineage: Eukaryota; Viridiplantae; Streptophyta; Magnoliopsida; Malpighiales; Euphorbiaceae. The record is from RNAcentral.
UUUAUGUGGAGAAAUAGUUUGGUUAAGCUUUGGCUCAUACAUGACAGAAGUACGGUUGAGCCUGAUAUUUGAAUUCUCUUACUAUUUUUUUUCUUAUUGUUUUAAACAAAGGAUUAGUUGAUUUACAGUUUAUUGUCAGAAAAUUAGGACUUCGAAUAUUUGAUGAAGCAACUGAACUCAUAACACCUUAGUUUUGUUUUUCUUAAAAUGAAGCAAUGAUCUUACUUGGGAUACUUGAGUGUUUGUGAGGAACCAAGGGAGUAUUCCUUAUAUAUGAAUUUUUUAUUCGGUUUAUUGUUUCUGUUAUGCAUGUGUCACUGAAUGUGUGAUAAAUUCAUGAUAUGCUGUAGUCAGUUGCUUUUGAUGAUUGAAAAUCUAUUAAAAAUUUUAGGUUUGAGAUUGAGGAGAUUCCAACUCAUUAGGUUAAACCUUUCCUCAGUGUUGAUGUACUAUAAGCAAGAGGAAUUUGGUUAGUCUGCAACUUUUUCUCAUUUAAGAGACUACGUAGGUCAGAACCAUGAUUUCUUGAGUUUGCAUGAUUUGGUUGGGAUACUAGCUGGCUUAAAGGUGAAUAAUGCAAUUCUUGCUGUCAAUUGAAAAGUAGAAAAUCCCCAACAUUAUGGGUGCUUAACAAAAUAAAAUGAAACAUUACAAUAUAUCCUCUUCAUUCCUCGUACUUGGUCUACAAUGAUGGUGAUCUACAACAGCCAAUGCAAAAUUAAUGAAGAAAAACAUUUUUUCUUAGAAGAGUUUCCUUAUGUUACUUCGAUAUUGUUGCAUGUCUUUGUUCCUGAUGCAGUUGUGUGACCUUCUCAAAUCUAGAGUUGAAUGCCCUGACUUCCUUGAAAAGCUAGAGUGUGCUCAAUGGUCGGCUCCCCAAAAUAUUUCGGAAGAAGGUAGUUCUUGGGACAUGGUCAAUGAGCAUGAUCUUUGGGAAUGUGACAAUUUUGACUCUGAUCAAGAAGGUUAUGUUCUUGUUCGGCAAGAAGACAUAGUAGAGGGCAUUGCAUGCUUCAUGGCUGCCUAUCUGUUGUCCCUUAAGCAGACAAAGGUAUGGAAAGUCUCUUCUGUUUCUUAUAUUUUCAACAGUUAUUUGAGUAAUAAAUUAUGCUAAUAAUUAUCAUUUUAUAACACAUUGACAAUGGAUUGAAUCUCAUGGUACUAAAAUGUUGGAAAAAUUUUGUCCUUAAGUGUCAAAGCCUAAACUAUAACUGUAUUUUCCUGAACUUUUCCCUUAUUUUUAAGUUCUAAAUAAUUUGUGUUGUAUCAACACUAAUAGGCAACCACUGGUCCUUUCCUGUAACCUGGAACCAUGGCACCUUUUAAUGCUUACCAAUAUGGAUUUCCAAUCAGAGUUCCUGCUGACAUCUGAUUAUGCUAGGUCGCUUGGGAGCUCUAUCUACUGCUGCCCUUUCAAAGCUUUUUUUUUUUUAUAAUGUGUAUAUACAUCUGAUUUUUAUGUUGACAGCUGUUUUCUUGUUGAAUGGUAUAUUGAAGAUUGUUUAUAUCCUAUAUGUUUGUUUUCUUAUGACACAUCUAGUUUGAGUUAUCAUUUGGGAACUGCUGAUAUUUAAAGUCUGAAUUAGUAGUAUGUGCCAUUAUGCUAGUGAAUAAAAUCUGGCAGUGACAUUCUGUAUAUGGAACAUCUAAUAAUGUUACCUGCGUACUCUUUUUCGUCCCCAGGACUUGACCCCCAAUCAACUCCAGGAAGGUCAGUUUUAAUAAAAGCUUUUCUAAUUAAGCUCAAAUCCUCAUUUUCCAUUGUAUUUUGUGCAACAAGCUCCAUUAUCACCAAUUUGGUUGAAAGAGUUCUGACAUCAAAUGUUAAUUUUCUUUAGCCCUUAGCAAAACAUUCUCUGUAAAAAAGAAGAAAGGGAAGCUUCGGAAAGCAUGGGAUGGAAGCAAAGUCAUCUAUAAUGUAGCAUCCUGGGGGGCAACUGCCAUUGGGUAGGCUUUUUUAGUAGCUCUCAUUUAAUACAGCUAUUCUUUCUUCCCUGCACUGGUUACACAAUGUAUCCUGUCUGUAAUGUCCAGAGCUGCCCCAUUGAUGAAUCUCUCAGUAAAACUUUCAGUAUCAUUUACUAAGCAUUUCUACAUGUUCCUUCGUUGCUCUAAGUAUAUAUUGAUUCAGUCUUUUGUAGGAGUAAUAAUUUACUGAUCUCCGUUUUCCUUGUCUUCACCUAACAGGAUAUACCAAAACCCAGUAAUUCUUAGGGCUGCCACUAAAGCAUUCUGGGCUUCUCGUCAUAUUAUAUCAAAGCUUCUCUGAUGUGCCUGUUAAUACUUGGAGAAUACUAUGGUAUUGGAAUUCACUGAUGUAUUUAUGCUUGUGCUGCUAAUGCAGCUGGGGUUUCUCAUGUUGUACUACAUUCUUCCAUGCUGCAAAUUGAUUGAUUAAUCGGGACAUGAUUUGUCUUGUAAAUAUUCUUCUUCUAAGUAUUUCCGAGUGAAAUUGAAAUUCAUUGGUAAAAUUUCAUUGUAUAGUUUAACUUGUAAGUCAUGCUUGCUCCAGACAAUUGUGUUGCCUUGAUUGCAAGCAUGAAUGAUAUUUGGGUAUAGAAUUUGGUUAGGCAUGCGUGGAAGUAAUGGUCUCUUCUUAU